CAUUUCCUGCUGGGGGUUGUGGAGAGCAAUAAGCAAGGUGGGUGGCAAGGGCCAGAAGGACGGGCCAGGUGGGGGAUGGGCUGGGGGAGCCUUCCCUUCAGGUACUCUUCUACCAUCCCCUUUUCUGGCUCUCGAGGGCCCAGCACAUGGUAUGUGCACAGACAUGUUGUUCGAAUGAAUGAAGAUUUUCCCACCUGGGUCUGCUGCCUCCUUCAUGUUUUACCACCUGGUGUCACUUCAGAUUCUGAAACUAUCUGUGGCUCAUCUACUUAGGGAGGACACUGAUGUGGACAUUGCAGAAUAUCAGCUCCAGUUUGUUGUCUUUCAGGAGGUGUAGCCUGGUUGUGGCCUGGGGAGUUUGGCUGUUCUGUGUGGUGUGCCUCCACGGUGUGGUCUCCAGUGAGCUGCUCAGCAGGUGUAGACCUGGGCAGGGCGAAGCUCUCUGGGCUGUUGACUGUGAGGCCCCUCCCCACCAGUAGAUUUCCAGGCCUCUUCAGUUGUGCAUUCAGCCACAGCAGGGUUACUUUUAUCGGCGUGAUCUUGGUUCACUGCAACCUCUGCCUCCCCGGACUCAAGCGAUUCUCCUGCCUCAGCCUCCUGAAUAGCUGGGACUAUAGGCACCCGCCAUGCCCUGCUAAUUUUUGUAUUUUUAGUAGAGGCAGGGUUUCACCAUGUUGGCCAGGCUGGUCUUGAACUACUGACCUUAUGUGAUCCACCCACCUCGGCCUCCCAAAGUUCUGGGAUUACAGGCGUGAGCCUUUUUCCUCUCAAGGCGUGGCCUUUUUCCUCUAACUCUUUAAAGAUUCUACUCCAUUGUUUCUUUCAUCCUAUGUUCUAUUGACAUCUAAUGUCAGCUUGAUACUUAUUCCUUAAUUAGUAAUCUACUCUUUCUCUUUUAAAAUUCUCUAUUUGUCUUUGAUAUUCUUAAAAUUCAGUAUAAUGUAUUUAAUUGUGCAUUUUUGCUAUCUGUUUUAUUUGGCCCUGUAUGAGCCCUUCCAAUCUAAGGCCUUUCGUCUUUAAUUUUGGAGAGUGUUUCUUUUUUGUUUCUUUAAAUAUUUUCUCGUCCACUUUUCUCUCCUGGGGCUUCUAUUGGUAGAUUGUUGGACCUGCUAUUUCUAACCUUUAUAGCCUUUAGAUUUUCUUUAAAUUAAAGAAAAAAAAACUCUAUUCUUUCCUGCUACCUACUGUGGAAGCCUGUUCUUUAUAACUACUCAUCUUUGAAUGAGAUAAGUUUUCCCUGUAUCACUAUUCAUAGGAAGACUGAGUGGUUGAGAGCUCAGAGUUCCGGGCUAAGAGAAAUUUUUCUUAUAUCCCAAGUUUAUUUAUGAAUUUGUUCCUUUAUAUUUCCCCAGCCAAUGGAUAUAGGUUACUGCAGGACUAGUCGAGAGGCAAGGUUUAUCUUCUCCCUCCAUCACACUGCUUUCUGAAAAUAACGCUUGUUUGUGUAAUUCCUUCAGCCCCACUUCUUUUGUUUCUCUGAAGCAAAGUCGGUCUAGGAAAGCUCUUGCUGCCAGCCUAUACACCCUGCUGUGAGAGAUUUUGGUUUUGUAUCGAAGGUAUGCUCCUAGAAGCAGCGUACAUACUGAUUCUUUACAUCUGCAGCUGGGUGCAUCCUCUCUUCUCCCCAGUCCUGUUCAUGGCUACUUCUUUUGAUGCCUAUCUAUCUCUUGGUCCAUCUUUCUUGUAGCUUCAUUGAAGAUUUCUCAUUCUCCUUGUCAUUUUUUUAAUUUUUGGCGACUUACAAGAGGAGAAAAGGAAUAUGUCAUUUUUAUACUGCCAUCUUCACAUUGCCAUCUUCGAACAGGAAGUCUAAGCCAUCUUAGAAAUUCUUGUAUUUUCAGCUUGUAGCAAUUAUUUCACGGUAAUGAGUUCUAUUAGUCUGCUAACUGAAUGUAAAACAGUUUAUUCAUUUGUUUCAAAAUGUGCCUCUCUUGUUCCAUUAUUUCAGGAUUGGCAAAUACUAUAUUUACCCACAGGAUAGCCAUCUUGAAUUUAAAUAUUUUCACUAUAUCCUACCCUCCAAAUUUUAUCUUUUUACGUAAAGAUCACUAUUGUCAUAAGCCAGCCACUCAUCCUCUUCCAUGGGCCAUCUCUAACUUUAUUAUGUGUCUUAAAGAGAAGAAUCUAAAACUGAGUUCAUUAUCCUAUGUGUGGCCACACCAUUGUUUUGUACAAAGUCACCCCUGAAUAUUGGUUUGUGAGCAUUCUAGUAUUCCUUGCUGCCAAUGCCAAAGAGCAGAGCUCUGCCCUCCAAUGACAGAUGACAGUGAUAUUUAAAAAAUAAAUCAAUGAAAGUCAUUCCUUGCCUUCUGGAAUCUCCCAUUCUAAAGUCUAGUUUAGGAAAGUUCUCUCUCUCUCUGAUACACACACACACACACACACACACACACACACACACACACACACGCACACUACCACCACCAUCACCAACAACGAUAAAAGACUUAAGAACACUUAAUAAUGUGUAAAAAGUGGCAAAGUAGCAAAACGAAACUAUAUUUGUAACUGCUGUGGAGUCACAGAGCAGUAGCAUUGUCACUGUUGGGUUAAGGGAAGUCUCCCUGCAAAUAGGAAGUUUUACGUGGAGUUUAAACAAACGAUAGUUUAAGUCAUUGCUGGGCAAUUUAUUAGCUAUAUAAUCUUGAGCAAAAUGACUGGUCUUUCCAAAAACCAGUUAACUCUGUCAUAAAAUAGUAUCUGCCUCAAAGAGAUUUUUUAAGUUAACUGAGAUGACAAAUGCAAAACCCUUAGCACAAUGCAUGGCACAUAAUAAGUAUUCAGGAAAUCUCAGCUAUUAUUAUUUUUAUGAGGAGAGAAAUUGACUUACUGCAGAGGAGGUGAACAUUUUUGGCAUGAAGGCCUGAGGUUUUGCGUGAGGAUGUCAUGUAUGAAAGAGAGGAAGUAGAGUACUUGAACCAGAGAAGAGAUUCCAUUUAGAAAGCCAUUAGAUGGAGGUGUGGUGGUGGGUGGGAGUGGUGAGGAGAGGGAGCUGUACAAAUGAUGAAUUAAGGCCAAGUGGAAGAGCUUUAAUUUGAUAUGAUGAACAACAAUAGCUACUGCAUAACAAUGGGAUCCCAUGAAAGCAGGUUUCACGGAUUCUCUGGGACUGCAUUCCUCAAUAAAGUAUUAUCACAUAAA
Symphalangus syndactylus (siamang) is the source of this 3138-nucleotide long non-coding RNA. RefSeq lists it as uncharacterized. The record is from RefSeq and is a predicted model, not a curated record. NCBI's taxonomy places the organism in Eukaryota, Metazoa, Chordata, Mammalia, Primates, Hylobatidae.